Fukomys damarensis (Damara mole-rat) is the source of this 77-nucleotide microRNA precursor. The record is from Ensembl. Lineage: Eukaryota; Metazoa; Chordata; Mammalia; Rodentia; Bathyergidae.
CGUCCACUCAGAUGUUUCUUGACAAGAGGAACGGUGGUGUACAAGCUCAGCACUCUGGGAGGCUGAGGCAGGAGGAU